AGAUCUGUCAUUAUGUGGACUUCCGUUAGAAUUUGUCUCGUUGUGAAACUCGUUCUGUGCUUGUUUUGUUUUUGUGGCUGUUUAGAAGGAAGAAAAAAACGAUGGCAGUGAAACUUGUGUUAUCUCAGCAGGACGUGGCGCCUCUUGCUCCUCCAAGUCCUCGCUGUUCCCAGACCAAUAUGUUCACUAGAUUCCACUUAUUUCAUCCUCAUGUACAAAUCUGGGUGCUCGCUGCAGAUUUUAGCACGUUUCAGAGCCAGGGAAGGAGGCUGGCGUCUUCUUAUUUAAAUUCUGAGCUGUUUAUGAGGGAUUAUCUGAGCAGCAUAUAGCUGGAAGCUGAAUGAAGGAUUCUAUUCUCUCUCUGUGGGGAAACAACAGCUUUAAAAACAUGAUAUAUGCUGAGUACAGUCAGUCCAGCAGUGCUUUUAGGAUGCAGGGUGAUAUUAUACGAAGCGGCGCCAGGAUUCCUUUAAUGACUGCAGAUCUGGCAGCUCUGAAGUCCAACCACUCGCUGCUGAAGACCAAAACAGGACUUGAUUAGUGUUUCCUCUGCAGGGAAGCAGCUCUGGACAGAUGUACAGCGGCACCGACAGCGAGCUGCCAGCCGGAUUAAAAAAAAAACAAAAGAAAUCUUAAGAGAGGGACGAGUGGAAGCGUCUGAGCUGCAGUGGAGUGAGAGCAACAGUUGAGCUUCUCCCCUGACAGCUGUAUUAGCGCUAAUGACAGGCUGUGUUUCUGAAGCACCUGGCUGCAGCACGUCGAUACGAGCAAACAACAAAACCUCUCACACGGAAAUUACACGCUGGAAAUGCAUCCAGGACAGAGCGACACGAGGCCGACCCUCUGGAUGCACUCGGUGUUUCUGAAUCAUCCUCGCUGCUGAUGACACACUGUUGCUGCUGAUGACACACUGGUGGGUGAGAUCUGAGCCGGACGAGGUGUGAUGAAACCAGCGACCAAGAAUGACUCAUGAAGACACUCUCUGCGGCUGCUUAUCAGGAAAUCUGAGUCUGCAGCGGCUGAGAACCUGAGAAUCUCCUGUAGGACCCACGGUGAAUGGUCCAGUUUACACCACAGCGGUUUCAGGAUGGAGCCAAAUGUUUUGUUGUGUCGCUGUCUCCCGUUCACACAGAAACGGUGUUUUCAGGCCUCGACACGCUCGGAUAACGACGGUGAGAUCAUGGUGGUGAUAUCUUUGAUAUCUCUAAAUCGGUGGUCCUACGUCGUACUGUGAGACAGGUUCAAGGACGGCUGUGAGUAGCAUCAGGUGGGAUGUCUGAGCUCGUUCCUGAUUGGUCUGUGUUCCUGAGCUGGUAACCAACACCACAAACACGUCACCAAAGCGACCACUGAAAUUAAAAAUCCCAUUACAAUUUACUGAUUACAGCUCCGGGUCCGUAUAACACGUCAUCUGGGUCUGGAUCUGGUCCAGUUAGCGCCCCCUGCUGUGUAACAUAUUAGUGUGGAUAAUUCAUUGCAACUCUGAUUGUGUUUCUGGCUUCUUCUAUGAUAUAAAUAACGCUACAGGAUGCCAAAAGUAGCCCAUACCACCACCUUCUGUCAACAGUUACCUUCACACCUGCUUGACGUAUAUGCUGUAAAUAGUUUUCAAAAAUUCUUAUUCAUUAUUCAACAAAAACAGUUAAAAAACAGAAAAAAACAUAUUUACUGAAUUUACUGUUUUUGUAAUAAAAGUGAAUGUUUCCGAUUGA
Molecule: long non-coding RNA, 1712 nt
Organism: Acanthochromis polyacanthus (spiny chromis)
Lineage: Eukaryota; Metazoa; Chordata; Actinopteri; Pomacentridae
Exons: 2
Source: RefSeq, a predicted model, not a curated record